RNAcentral lists this ribosomal RNA (253 nucleotides) under uncultured bacterium. Its description in RNAcentral is "partial 16S ribosomal RNA". It matches the Rfam family "Bacterial small subunit ribosomal RNA", at positions 524 to 776 of the family's 1533-position model. The record is from RNAcentral.
GACGUAGGGGGCCAGCGUUGCUCGGAAUUACUGGGUGUAAAGGGUUCGUAGGCGGUGUGGCAAGUCGGGAGUGAAAUCUCUGGGCUCAACCCAGAGUCUGCUUCCGAAACUGCUGUGCUUGAGUGCGGGAGAGGCGCGUGGAAUUGCAGGUGUAGCGGUGAAAUGCGUAGAUAUCUGCAGGAACACCCGUGGCGAAAGCGGCGCGCUGGACCACUACUGACGCUGAGGAACGAAAGCUAGGGGAGCAAACAGG